This 500-nucleotide ribosomal RNA is filed under the name uncultured bacterium. Its description in RNAcentral is "partial 16S ribosomal RNA". It matches the Rfam family "Bacterial small subunit ribosomal RNA", at positions 30 to 523 of the family's 1533-position model. The record is from RNAcentral.
AUUGAGCGCUGGCGGAAUGCUUUACACAUGCAAGUCGAACGGCAGCACGGGGGCAACCCUGGUGGCGAGUGGCGAACGGGUGAGUAAUACAUCGGAACGUGCCCAGUCGUGGGGGAUAACGUAGCGAAAGUUACGCUAAUACCGCAUACGAUCUACGGAUGAACGCGGGGGACCGUAAGGCCUCGCGCGAUUGGAGCGGCCGAUGUCAGAUUAGGUAGUUGGUGAGGUAAAGGCUCACCAAGCCGACGAUCUGUAGCUGGUCUGAGAGGACGACCAGCCACACUGGGACUGAGACACGGCCCAGACUCCUACGGGAGGCAGCAGUGGGGAAUUUUGGACAAUGGGCGCAAGCCUGAUCCAGCCAUUCCGCGUGCAGGACGAAGGCCUUCGGGUUGUAAACUGCUUUUGUACGGAACGAAAAGGCUCUGGUUAAUACCUGGGGCUCAUGACGGUACCGUAAGAAUAAGCACCGGCUAACUACGUGCCAGCAGCCGCAGUAA